RNAcentral lists this ribosomal RNA (279 nucleotides) under uncultured bacterium. Its description in RNAcentral is "partial 16S ribosomal RNA". It matches the Rfam family "Bacterial small subunit ribosomal RNA", at positions 29 to 289 of the family's 1533-position model. The record is from RNAcentral.
ACGAACGCUGGCGGCGUGCCUAACACAUGCAAGUCGCACGAGAAAUCCUAGGGCAACCGGGAAAGUAAAGUGGCGCACGGGUGAGUAACGCGUGGGUAACCUGCCCUUGAGUUGGGGAUAACCCCGCGAAAGCGGGGCUAAUACCGAAUAAUAUGUCAGUCUCUAUGGGGAUUGAAAUCAAAGGUAGCCUCUGCAUGCAAGCUAUUGCUCAAGGAUGGGCCCGCGUACCAUUAGCUUGUUGGUAGGGUAAUGGCCUACCAAGGCAACGAUGGUUAGCUG